UAGGGAACCUUCCACAAUGGGCGAAAGCCUGAUGGAGCAACGCCGCGUGUGUGAUGAAGGCUUUCGGGUCGUAAAGCACUGUUGUAUGGGAAGAACAGCUAGAAUAGGAAAUGAUUUUAGUUUGACGGUACCAUACCAGAAAGGGACGGCUAAAUACGUGCCAG
RNAcentral lists this ribosomal RNA (164 nucleotides) under uncultured bacterium. RNAcentral describes it as "partial 16S rRNA". It matches the Rfam family "Bacterial small subunit ribosomal RNA", at positions 355 to 511 of the family's 1533-position model. The record is from RNAcentral.